Rhododendron vialii is the source of this 104-nucleotide small nucleolar RNA. RefSeq annotates it as small nucleolar RNA snoR100. The record is from RefSeq and is a predicted model, not a curated record. NCBI's taxonomy places the organism in Eukaryota, Viridiplantae, Streptophyta, Magnoliopsida, Ericales, Ericaceae. The transcript has a single exon.
UAAUGAAGUAUGGUAAUGUGCACAGAAAUUGAAUUGGGUUUCUAAGCCUGCCCUCUCUGAUGCCAUUCGCCUUUAAUUUGGGGGCAUGGUUUCGCAGCAAAACA